Long non-coding RNA from Panicum virgatum (switchgrass), 188 nucleotides. RefSeq lists it as uncharacterized. The record is from RefSeq and is a predicted model, not a curated record. The transcript has 2 exons. NCBI's taxonomy places the organism in Eukaryota, Viridiplantae, Streptophyta, Magnoliopsida, Poales, Poaceae.
CCCGGUGCUAAGGGUAGAGGCUGAUGUGCCGGCUAUCCGUUCGAUGGAAUGCUGCGUCAAUUCGACACCACCUUCAGGUUCUUCCCCUCAGGAAGCCUGAAUUCGGCUGCGCUGUUCAAUGUGAAGUACUUCAACUCUCCCUGCCACAGUUUAGCAACCAAUUGUUCGUGGCCUCAAAUAUUACAAGG